Molecule: long non-coding RNA, 2610 nt
Organism: Monomorium pharaonis (pharaoh ant)
Lineage: Eukaryota; Metazoa; Arthropoda; Insecta; Hymenoptera; Formicidae
Exons: 2
Source: RefSeq, a predicted model, not a curated record
UCUGUGUCCGUUUGUUAGUGUGUCCGUUUCACUCAGCCUGCUGUGUCCGUUUAUUACUGUGCGCAUCUAGGACGCUCCCUUUCUAAUUCCCAAUGUUCAAACGUUAAGUAAUUUCUAAAUUCUUUUAUCAAUGCCUCACAUAAUUCUUCAAAAUUUGUUAUUGUGUAUACGGAUCUAACUAACGCGACAUCGCUCGUUAAUUUUGUUUGAAGGAUCGCUCUAAAAAAAAUAAUCUUUUUUUUGGCUCUACUAAUUCUAAAACUCUUUUACAAUCGGAUGUAAAUUGGUAAACCGGAAUAUUUUUACCAUUAAAGAUUGGCAAGAGAUUUAAGCUAUGGCGAACAGAAAAAUAACUAUUACCUGUCGAAAUCGAGGAUCUUCAACUUUGUUGGUCCUUAUUUAAGUGACUUUCGCUGUGAAGGUUUAUCGGUGCCGACGCUUGGUUGUUCAUGAUUAACGUUAAGGAUAUGUGAUCGGAUUCAAAAUUGUCUACUAAACUAUUUUCGCCCGAACUAUCUGAAUUAUAAUGUACGCUAGGACUUCGGUAAUUCAUAAAGAUUUACAAUAGUAGUACAAUAUAUAACAUUGUCCGUAUGGUGUUUUGAUGUUGGUCCAGGAUGUUGUCCGAUGAUUUGAUGAGCCUUUUUACGUGCUAGCUGUCCACGGAGUCUCGUCGCCGUCGUCUCAAGAAGAUGCUGGAUACCUCGUGCUUUUCCUCCCACUUUUCGGCUUUCGUGCUGCUCCGACGUUUCAGCUCCUCUACUUUUUUCCUCGGAUGCUGGACCGUAGUCCGCCAGGAGGUUUUAUCAGUGAGACCAAAUUGUCGAAUUAUGCAGAUUAUAGCCAAUUGUCAAGGAUCGUCUUUUACCACAGUAUUUGUGAGGUUUUCUCGACUUAAUCCUUUGUGUUUUGUGUGUCCUUAGUUUGCGCCUUCCUGGAACUUUUAUGCUUGCAUGAGCAAUAAAACAAAAUGCUGAUGGAGGCCUUUCUUCAGGACAACUGGUUAACCGCUGCCACCAAUUGUUACGUGUGAGAUGCACGUAAUGUGAGAGAUGGAUCGCACUGGUAUUUUAAAGUGUUUAUUCUAACGUUUUACAGACUUUUGUCUAACUUCUAGUGGUUUAGUACAGAGACUGACUCUAAUCAUCGAGAGGGAUCCUUAUAUUAAAGUCGGAAUAAGUUAGCAUCGCCCAAUCAUAGGAAGUGCUUGUAAAGCGGAAAUAGCUACUGGUUGAUUUCUUAAAAAGAAGAAAAUUUGAUAAUUGAUAUCUAUGUCAUAAAGAAUAGUUUGGGUGGGAUGCAGGAUGUUUACAGGACGAGGAAACAGACAAAUAUUAAGUUUAAAAAGACCGUAGAUAGAAAAGGUUAUCAAUAAGUAAGAAUCUGGUAUGAUAUAUCGGGAUAGUUUUAAGACAUAGUUUGUACAGGGUGAUUAGAUAGAAAUAGUUUAAAGAAGAGAAUUUUUAACGUGUCUAGGCACGUAACAGACCGCUAUUUGACUAGCAUCAGCGCCAAACGUGGAUGUAAAGUUCGUUCUACAUUAAUCGUAGUCGCCAGUUGCAAUUUGCAACACCUAAUGACUGUCAAGCUUUAACUAGAAACUAAGCGCUUUGGAUGUCGCAAGUUGCAACUGGCUGUUUGCGAUUAAUGUAAAACGGGUUUUACAUCCACGUUUGGCGCUAGACAAAUAUCGGUCACACGAAAAAAGCCGCAGUGGCCACUCUCAAGUUCCUCUCUGGUUUUGUCUGUUCUGGGUCUACUCGGAGCAAACCCAAGCAGACCAAUGCACUCUAAUAGCGUUUUUGAUUUGUUGACUCAACCCGACUCCGGGUCAGUGGUCUGUUCCUUUUAUCUUCAUUUCUUGCACAGUUUAUCACUUUUUUGCAGUGAAAAAGAACAAACCAUUGACUCGGAGUCGAGUCGAGUCAGCAAAUCGAAAACGCUAUAAUAAGUUGAUUCCGAUGACGCCAACUUAUUAGAGUGCGUUGGUCUGCUUGGGUUUGCUCCGAGUAGACCCAGAACAGACAAAACGAACAAUACUUAUGUUGUUACAGGAGCCAUAAGGCCAUAGAGCUUGUAUUAAUGGAGGGGGCUUGGUGCAUCGCGACGCGCGCGGGGAGAAUCGACAGAGAGUUUGGAGGAGCAAUAAAGUAAGAUAACUCUGGGAAUAUCUUGGUUUCGAAGGAUAUGUUAAAUGCAUUGCUUUGUUUUCUAGCUGCUGGAUCAAUAAUUGCAUCAUCAAAAAUAGUAAGUAAGAGCAAUAAAGUAAAGAUAACUCUGGGAAUAUCUUGGUUUCGAAGGAUAUGUUAAAUGCAUUGCUUUGUUUUCUAGCUGCUGGAUCAAUAAUUGCAUCAUCAAAAAUUCUUAUAAAUCAUUUAAAAAAAAAAGAGAAUGUAGAAAAUUUAAAAAUUAAAAUAAAAUUAUUUUAUAAAUAUGAGUAUUAAUAUUAUACAUUUAUGCUAACGGAUACCGAAGUUUGGAGGAGCAAUAAGGAAAACUCAGGGAAUAUCUUGGUUUCGAAUGAUAUAUUGAAUGCAUUGCUUUGUCUUCUGGCUGCUGGAUCAAUAAUUGCAUCAUCAAAAAUUCUUAUAAAUUAUUUGAAAGAAAAGA